CUUUUAUCUGCACCCCAGCAGAUGAAGCAAACAUGUAUAACGAAGUGAAUUUUAUGUGCAAUACUUGUAUGUCUUCUGGAACAACGCCUAUGAGCAUGAUGGAGCUUGGACUCCUAGGAUCACAGUGAUGAUGACAACAUGCUUCAAUUUAAAGUGAUUUAUGCUUGCAGAGGACAAAAGACAGAGGAACAGCAGUAUGAACUGUACAAUUCUUUUCUGGGAUUUUAAAUUCAUUUGGCUGAUGGACAGGGAAACCUUACUAUCCUUUCGGUGAAGAAAAUUCUGUCGUUUGUCAGUGUUCAAGAUGCUGAUUCAGUUGCUGUCUCUGAAUGCCUCCUUCACUCCAGAACACCCUUGCAAGGGAGGGAUGGCCGGACAGCCUGCCCCCUACCUCCAGCUGAUGGAGUGAGUUGUGGGAAUACAACAAAAUCUAUUCAGAGCAGAAGCUGUGGAGCAAGAUAAACAGCAUGAGAACCAAGGACACCUUUAGAAGAAGAGAAAAAGCAAAAGAAAUGACUCAUGGCUCUGAUUGGAUAAGCACCCG
Gallus gallus (chicken) is the source of this 544-nucleotide long non-coding RNA. The record is from Ensembl. NCBI's taxonomy places the organism in Eukaryota, Metazoa, Chordata, Aves, Galliformes, Phasianidae.